This 376-nucleotide ribosomal RNA is filed under the name uncultured organism. Its description in RNAcentral is "partial 16S ribosomal RNA". It matches the Rfam family "Archaeal small subunit ribosomal RNA", at positions 477 to 851 of the family's 1478-position model. The record is from RNAcentral.
CAGCCCCUCGAGUGGUGGGGGAUGAUUAUUUGGCCUAAAGCGUCCGUAGCCGGCUCGGUAAAUCUCUCGUUAAAUCCAGCGUCCUAAGCGUUGGGCUGCGAGGGAGACUGCCGAGCUAGAGGGUGGGAAAGGUCAGCGGUAUUUCUGGGGUAGGGGCGAAAUCCAUUGAUCCCAGGAGGACCACCAGUGGCGAAGGCUGCUGACUAGAACACGCCUGACGGUGAGGGACGAAGGCUGGGGUAGCGAAUCGGAUUAGAUACCCGAGUAGUCCCAGCCGUAAACGAUGCAGGCUAGGUGUUGGGCCGGCCACGCGCCGGCUCAGUGCCACAGGGAAGCCAUUAAGCCUGCCGCCUGGGGAGUACGGUCGCAAAGGCUG